ACGCUGGCGGCACGCCUAACACAUGCAAGUCGAACGAAGUAGCAAUACUUAGUGGCAGACGGGUGAGUAACAUGUAGGUAUCUGCCCUUUGGCCUGGAAUAACACGAGGAAACUUGUGCUAAUACCGGAUAAGUCUUUACGGAGAAAGCUUUAUGCACCAUUGGAUGAGCCUGCACUUGAUUAGUUUGUUGGUGGGGUAAUGGCCUACCAAGACUGUGAUCAAUAGCUGAUUUGAGAGGAUGAUCAGCCACAUUGGGACUGAGACACGGCCCAAACUCCUACGGGAGGCAGCAGUGGGGAAUCUUGCACAAUGGAGGAAACUCUGAUGCAGCGAUGCCGCGUGAGUGAAGAAGGCCCUUGGGUUGUAAAGCUCUUUCGUCGGGGAAGAAAAUGACUGUACCCGAAUAAGAAGGUCCGGCUAACUUCGUGCCAGCAGCCGCGGUAAUACGAAGGGACCUAGCGUAGUUCGGAAUUACUGGGCUUAAAGAGUUCGUAGGUGGUUGAAAAAGUUGGUGGUGAAAUCCCAGAGCUUAACUCUGGAACUGCCAUCAAAACUUUUCAGCUAGAGUAUGAUAGAGGAAAGCAGAAUUUCUAGUGUAGAGGUGAAAUUCGUAGAUAUUAGAAAGAAUACCAACUGCGAAGGCAGCUUUCUGGAUCAUUACUGACACUGAGGAACGAAAGCAUGGGUAGCGAAGAGGAUUAGAUACCCUCGUAGUCCAUGCCGUAAACGAUGUGUGUUAGACGUUGGAAAUUUAUUUUCAGUGUCGCAGCGAAAGCGAUAAACACACCGCCUGGGGAGUACGACCGCAAGGUUAAAACUCAAAUGAAUUGACGGGGACCCGCACAAGUAGUGGAGCAUGUGGUUUAAUUCGAAGAUACGCGCAGAACCUUACCAACACUUGACAUGUUCGUCGCGACUCUAAGAGAUUAGAGUUUUCGGUUCGGCCGGACGAAACACAGGUGCUGCAUGGCUGUCGUCAGCUCGUGUCGUGAGAUGUUGGGUUAAGUCCCGCAACGAGCGCAACCCUCACUUUUAGUUGCCAUCAUUAAGUUGGGCACUCUGAAAGAACUGCCAGUGAUAAGCUGGAGGAAGGUGGGGAUGACGUCAAGUCCUCAUGGCCCUUACGUGUUGGGCUACACACGUGCUACAAUGGUAUCUACAACAGGAAGCAAAACUGCGAAGUUAAGCAAAUCCCUAAAAGAUACCUCAGUUCGGAUUGCACUCUGCAACUCGAGUGCAUGAAGCUGGAAUUACUAGUAAUCGUGGAUCAGCGUGCCACGGUGAAUGCGUUCCCGGGUCUUGUACACACCGCCCGUCACACCAUGGGAGUUGGUUCUACCUUAAGGCAAGGUUUUAAACCCUUGACCACGGUAUAGUCAGCGACUGGGGUGAAGUCGUAACAAGGUAGCCGUAGGGGAACCUGCGGCUGGAUUACCUCCUUUCU
This 1445-nucleotide ribosomal RNA is filed under the name uncultured marine bacterium. Its description in RNAcentral is "16S ribosomal RNA". It matches the Rfam family "Bacterial small subunit ribosomal RNA". The record is from RNAcentral.